GGUAAUUUUCCGCAAUGGGCGAAAGCCUGACGGAGCAAUACCGCGUGAGGGACGAAGGCUUUUGGGUCGUAAACCUCUUUUCCCUGAGAAGAAGAUCUGACGGUAUCAGGGGAAUAAGCAUCGGCUAACUUCGUGCCAGCAGCCGCGGUAAUACGAGGGAUGCAAGCGUUAUCCGGAAUUAUUGGGCGUAAAGCGUCCGCAGGUGGCUCUGUAAGUCUGUCGUUAAAGAAUGGGGCUUAACCCCAUACAGGCGAUGGAAACUACAAGGCUAGAGUUUGGUAGGGGUCACGGGAAUUCCUAGUGUAGCGGUGAAAUGCGUAGAUAUUAGGAAGAACACCAGCGGCGAAAGCGCGUGACUGGGCCAGUACUGACACUCAUGGACGAAAGCUAGGGGAGCGAAAGGGAUUAGAUACCCCUGUAGUCCUAGCCGUAAACGAUGAUAACUAGGUGUUGCCCGCAUCGACCCGGGCAGUGCCGUAGCCAACGCGUUAAGUUAUCCG
Molecule: ribosomal RNA, 500 nt
Filed under: uncultured cyanobacterium
Lineage: Bacteria; Bacillati; Cyanobacteriota
Description: bacterial SSU rRNA
Rfam family: Bacterial small subunit ribosomal RNA
Source: RNAcentral